GGCCAGGACAUCACAGUGAGUGGACGUGUGCUGCGAGCUGCUGCCCUGUGUGGGUAAUCUUCGUCAGGGUGAGGCAGCGCAAAGCAGGGAGCUGCAGAUGGAAGGUCUCACAAUGGUGGUCGUCGCACGAGGUUUUAGAUGCGCUGUGAAAGGGUUAACUUCAAGAAUAAGCAGAUCAGAAUCUCUGGGCGCCACGUAUUUCCUGCGCGGGGAGCAGCUGUGAAGGGACUCCACCACCUCAGUCGCACCUUUGAUCCACCUCGCUACUAAUUAACAGGCAACUACCUUCCCCGUCCCCUCCCCUCCCAGCCGUGAGGUGCCCUAAUUGCCCACCACUUUGUUAUGAUCACCAUCGGACAGGAAACAAACAGCGGAGAAAACAGAAUGUUAGAAACAUACGUGUGUGUGUGUGUGUGUGUGUGUGUGUGUGUGUAAAUAUGCUUAUGUACGAACAUAGUGGCCUAUACUGAGUACUGAGUUUUCCUAGCGUGAAUAUGUCACAGAUAAGCAGCAACUUUGACUGGGUUCAUUUGCUUCUAGUUAUGGUGUUGUAGUGAAUCAUGUUAUAUGAAAACUACCAAAUGACUGUUGUGAAACGGACCGAGUGUCUCGAAACUUGUGUCUCUCCCAGCCAAUCCCGUGGCACCGCUCCCACUACCGCCACUCUCUUUUCUCAUACCAAGGCGGGUGGCCUCACAAUCUAUUAAACUGCAAGUACGUGAAUAUUAUGUCAAAAUGUGGCAAUUAUUAUAAUGUAUUCAUAUUCACGUGAACACAGAGUACAGUGAUUAAAUAUUUAUGUAUUUGCAUGUUCGCGACAAAGCCCCAUCAAACCAUGUCCUCUACCAUCUGAGCAGUAAUUAUUAUUCUGCAACCCCAAAUCGAGGUAGUGCAUCUACGAGUCCACACCGUCAGCAAGCAUAAGUAGUAUUUGACCUAGUUCCCGUCAGACUCCAUGUUGUCAUUGUGGAGACUCGGCUAUUAUGUUAGGCAUCUUUAUUCAGUAAUGGAGUGUGUUAAAGGCCUCUCCUAGUGACCAAAUUAUAGACUAAUGGUUCGUUACCGCUCCUUGGUGGCAAUUUUUCUGUAAUCAUAGCUAAUAUUACAUUUCGCGUUGAUGGUGACCUUCCUGUUACACUAGUGGCUCGUGGUUGUGGCGGUAAUGAUGGUCAAAUACGAAACUUUACGUCCACAAUAGGUUUGCGUGAGGGCUGCUGUUGCGUUGGGAACUGGACUGAGGGUUCUGUCCUGUCACCCCACUCUUCUCCUAAUAUGCAUCAAUUAUCUUCUAAACCAAACUUCUUGCCCUGUCCACUCCUACGCUGAUGACACCACCUUGCACUUUUCCCCGCCUUUAAGU
This is a long non-coding RNA of Scylla paramamosain (green mud crab), 1360 nucleotides long. RefSeq lists it as uncharacterized. Lineage: Eukaryota; Metazoa; Arthropoda; Malacostraca; Decapoda; Portunidae. The transcript is spliced from 3 exons. The record is from RefSeq and is a predicted model, not a curated record.